This 278-nucleotide ribosomal RNA is filed under the name uncultured bacterium. Its description in RNAcentral is "partial small subunit ribosomal RNA". It matches the Rfam family "Bacterial small subunit ribosomal RNA", at positions 26 to 288 of the family's 1533-position model. The record is from RNAcentral.
AGAAUCAACGCUGGCGGCGUGCCUAACACAUGCAAGUCGAACGCGACUGGGGCGUUCGGCUCCAGUUGAGUGGCGAACGGGUGAGUAACACGUGGGUGACCUACCUCUGAAUGGGGGAGUAACGUCCCGAAAGGGACGCUAAUACCGCUAUAACAUCCCGCUCUUGAAUGGGGGAGAUUCAAAGCCGGGGAUCGCAAGACCUGGCGUUUGGAGAGGGACCCGCGUCCGGAUUAGCUAGUUGGUGAGGUAACGGCUCACCAAGGCGACGAUCGGUAGCC